RNAcentral lists this ribosomal RNA (253 nucleotides) under uncultured bacterium. RNAcentral's name for it is "partial 16S ribosomal RNA". It matches the Rfam family "Bacterial small subunit ribosomal RNA", at positions 524 to 776 of the family's 1533-position model. The record is from RNAcentral.
UACGAAGGGGGCUAGCGUUACUCGGAUUGACUGGGCGUAAAGGGCGCGUAGGCGGCUUGUACAGUCAGACGUGAAAUUCCUGGGCUCAACCUGGGGGCUGCGUUUGAUACGUGCGGGCUUGAGUUCGGAAGAGGGUAGUGGAAUUCCCGGUGUAGUGGUGAAAUGCGUAGAUAUCGGGAGGAACACCAGUGGCGAAGGCGACUACCUGGCCUGUUCUUGACGCUGAGGCGCGAAAGCUAGGGGAGCAAACGGG